GUGGGGAAUCUUGCGCAAUGGGCGAAAGCCUGACGCAGCCAUGCCGCGUGAAUGAUGAAGGUCUUAGGAUUGUAAAAUUCUUUCACCGGGGACGAUAAUGACGGUACCCGGAGAAGAAGCUCCGGCUAACUUCGUGCCAGCAGCCGCGGUAAUACGAAGGGGGCUAGCGUUGCUCGGAAUUACUGGGCGUAAAGGGCGCGUAGGCGGACAGCUUAGUCAGAGGUGAAAGCCCAGGGCUCAACCUUGGAAUUGCCUUUGAUACUGGCUGUCUUGAGUACGGGAGAGGUGAGUGGAACUCCGAGUGUAGAGGUGAAAUUCGUAGAUAUUCGGAAGAACACCAGUGGCGAAGGCGACUCACUGGCCCGUUACUGACGCUGAGGCGCGAAAGCGUGGGGAGCAAACAGGAUUAGAUACCCGAGUAGUCC
This 425-nucleotide ribosomal RNA is filed under the name uncultured bacterium. Its description in RNAcentral is "partial 16S ribosomal RNA". It matches the Rfam family "Bacterial small subunit ribosomal RNA", at positions 354 to 796 of the family's 1533-position model. The record is from RNAcentral.